AGAAAUAAAAAACGUACCAGUUAUGACGUCAGGUGCGUCACCCUCCUCGCGGCGACGAACAGCAUAUACCAAAGCUGGCUGACGAGUCUCAGUGUUAACAGUACCCUUGCUAGGUGCCCCACGUCUAUGGCCAUUGCCACCGCGACCUCGGCCAUGACCUUUCGAUGGCGACGGUCCACCUCGAGCUGUUUGUACUGGUUGCACAACCCUUUGUUCAACCACUUGAGCCUGAGCUGGCCUCUUAGGACAAUCUCUGAUCUUAUGUUCCUUUGAUCCAUAAUGAAGACAAGCCCCAGAACGUUUCCAAC
RNAcentral lists this long non-coding RNA (308 nucleotides) under Gossypium barbadense (sea-island cotton). RNAcentral's name for it is "long non-coding RNA (GBAR_LNC006560)". The record is from RNAcentral. Lineage: Eukaryota; Viridiplantae; Streptophyta; Magnoliopsida; Malvales; Malvaceae.